GGCUCUUGAUCUUUUUUCUUUUAUUUUCUAGGGACUUCUUCAUUUUUGGAAUAACCUUACUAGGAGAUGUGCAGUAGAUGUGGUCAUGACCAACUGGCUGAAAUUUCCUUUUAGGUUUCUUGUUGGGAACAUCUGGGACUGCAUCGGUAGUGGCUGCUUUUCUCUUCAUGGGACAUUUUCGUGGGUUAGUUUUUUUUUUCAAGGUGUGGUGGAAAA
Molecule: non-coding RNA, 216 nt
Organism: Paramuricea clavata
Lineage: Eukaryota; Metazoa; Cnidaria; Anthozoa; Malacalcyonacea; Plexauridae
Source: the annotation of a GenBank genome assembly